This 427-nucleotide ribosomal RNA is filed under the name uncultured bacterium. Its description in RNAcentral is "bacterial SSU rRNA". It matches the Rfam family "Bacterial small subunit ribosomal RNA", at positions 355 to 774 of the family's 1533-position model. The record is from RNAcentral.
UGGGGAAUUUUGGACAAUGGACGCAAGUCUGAUCCAGCCAUGCCGCGUGCGGGAAGAAGGCCUUCGGGUUGUAAACCGCUUUUGUCAGGGAAGAAACGCUCUGGGCUAAUACCCUGGGGUAAUGACGGUACCUGAAGAAUAAGCACCGGCUAACUACGUGCCAGCAGCCGCGGUAAUACGUAGGGUGCAAGCGUUAAUCGGAAUUACUGGGCGUAAAGCGUGCGCAGGCGGUUAUAUAAGACAGAUGUGAAAUCCCCGGGCUCAACCUGGGACCUGCAUUUGUGACUGUAUAGCUAGAGUACGGUAGAGGGGGAUGGAAUUCCGCGUGUAGCAGUGAAAUGCGUAGAUAUGCGGAGGAACACCGAUGGCGAAGGCAAUCCCCUGGACCUGUACUGACGCUCAUGCACGAAAGCGUGGGGAGCAAACA